GAGCGGACAGAAGGGAGCUUGCUCCCGGAUGUUAGCGGCGGACGGGUGAGUAACACGUGGGUAACCUGCCUGUAAGACUGGGAUAACUCCGGGAAACCGGAGCUAAUACCGGAUAGUUCCUUGAACCGCAUGGUUCAAGGAUGAAAGACGGUUUCGGCUGUCACUUACAGAUGGACCCGCGGCGCAUUAGCUAGUUGGUGAGGUAACGGCUCACCAAGGCGACGAUGCGUAGCCGACCUGAGAGGGUGAUCGGCCACACUGGGACUGAGACACGGCCCAGACUCCUACGGGAGGCAGCAGUAGGGAAUCUUCCGCAAUGGACGAAAGUCUGACGGAGCAACGCCGCGUGAGUGAUGAAGGUUUUCGGAUCGUAAAGCUCUGUUGUUAGGGAAGAACAAGUGCAAGAGUAACUGCUUGCACCUUGACGGUACCUAACCAGAAAGCCACGGCUAACUACGUGCCAGCAGCCGCGGUAAUACGUAGGUGGCAAGCGUUGUCCGGAAUUAUUGGGCGUAAAGGGCUCGCAGGCGGUUUCUUAAGUCUGAUGUGAAAGCCCCCGGCUCAACCGGGGAGGGUCAUUGGAAACUGGGAAACUUGAGUGCAGAAGAGGAGAGUGGAAUUCCACGUGUAGCGGUGAAAUGCGUAGAGAUGUGGAGGAACACCAGUGGCGAAGGCGACUCUCUGGUCUGUAACUGACGCUGAGGAGCGAAAGCGUG
RNAcentral lists this ribosomal RNA (716 nucleotides) under Bacillus aerius. RNAcentral's name for it is "bacterial SSU rRNA". It matches the Rfam family "Bacterial small subunit ribosomal RNA", at positions 64 to 763 of the family's 1533-position model. The record is from RNAcentral. Lineage: Bacteria; Bacillati; Bacillota; Bacilli; Caryophanales; Bacillaceae.